GGUACUUCGGUCAGUGUUUGGCCCAGAAUGAAAAACACACCCCUUAUAAUCCGCGGAGGAUGUAAUCCACGGCAUUAAUAACUGGUGUCAUGUCUGGAUUAGAUGUUCGAGUGCUACAAUAUACACCUUGUUCUUAACAAGUGCCACGAAGACUCAGUGUCAUCAUCUUGGGGUCUUCUUACUGCCACACAGCCCCAUGAGUUUGAAAAUAACUCGGAUGAACAGAUUAGAAAACCAAGGUGCAGACCGAUGGGAGCACUUGAAAUCACACAUCUAGACAAGUAAGCCACUGGGGUUCAAUCUUAAAGUGUUCUGACUCUAAAGCAUACACUUUUUUUUUUAAAUGUUUAUCCCUUUUUGAAGAGAGAGCACAAGCGGGGGAAGGUCAGAAUCCGAAGCAGGCUCCAGGCUCUGAGCUGUCAGCAUAGAGCACAAUGUGGGGCUCGAGCUCACGAACCACAAGAUCAUGACCUGAG
This is a long non-coding RNA of Panthera uncia (snow leopard), 476 nucleotides long. RefSeq lists it as uncharacterized. NCBI's taxonomy places the organism in Eukaryota, Metazoa, Chordata, Mammalia, Carnivora, Felidae. The record is from RefSeq and is a predicted model, not a curated record. The transcript is spliced from 3 exons.